GAUGAAGAACGCAGCGAAAUGCGAUAAGUAAUGUGAAUUGCAGAAUUCAGUGAAUCAUCGAAUCUUUGAACGCGCAUUGCGCCCCUUGGUAUUCCGAGGGGCAUGCCUGUUCGAGCGUCAUUAUAACCCCUCAAGCUCAGCUUGGUGUUGGGGCCUGCUGCACUGGCAGCCCUUAAAAUCAGUGGCGGCGCCAUCUGGCUCUAAGCGUAGUAAUUCUUCUCGCUAUGGAGUCCUGGUGGAUGCUUGCCAUCAACCCCCAAUUUUUCUAUGGUUGACCUCGGAUCAGGUAGGGAUACCCGCUGAACUUAAGCAUAUCAAUAAGCGGAGGA
Molecule: unclassified non-coding RNA, 329 nt
Filed under: soil metagenome
Description: partial contains 5.8S ribosomal RNA, internal transcribed spacer 2, and large subunit ribosomal RNA
Rfam family: 5.8S ribosomal RNA (bases 1-120)
Source: RNAcentral